This 446-nucleotide ribosomal RNA is filed under the name uncultured bacterium. RNAcentral's name for it is "bacterial SSU rRNA". It matches the Rfam family "Bacterial small subunit ribosomal RNA", at positions 330 to 794 of the family's 1533-position model. The record is from RNAcentral.
GCCAGACUCCUACGGGAGGCAGCAGUGGGGAUAUUGCACAAUGGGGGAAACCCUGAUGCAGCGACGCCGCGUGGGUGAGGAAGUACCCCGGUAUGUAAAGCCCUUUCGGCAGGGAAGAAAAUGACGGUACCUGGCGAAGAAGCCCCGGCUAACUACGUGCCAGCAGCCGCGGUAAUACGUAGGUGGCAAGCGUUGUCCGGAUUUACUGGGUGUAAAGGGCGUGUAGCCGGGAAGGCAAGUCAGAUGUGAAAUCUGGAGGCUCAACCUCCAAAUUGCAUUUGAAACUGUUUUUCUUGAGUACUGGAGAGGCAGACGGAAUUCCUUGUGUAGCGGUGAAAUGCGUAGAUAUUAGGAGGAACACCAGUGGCGAAGGCGGCCUGCUGGGCUUUUACUGACGCUGAGGCUCGAAAGUGUGGGGAGCAAACAGGAUUAGAUACCCGAGUACC